This 253-nucleotide ribosomal RNA is filed under the name uncultured bacterium. Its description in RNAcentral is "partial 16S ribosomal RNA". It matches the Rfam family "Bacterial small subunit ribosomal RNA", at positions 524 to 776 of the family's 1533-position model. The record is from RNAcentral.
UACAGAGGUCUCAAGCGUUGUUCGGAUUCAUUGGGCGUAAAGGGUGCGUAGGUGGCGCCGUAAGUCGGAUGUGAAAUCCUGAGGCUUAACCUCGGAACUGCAUUCGAUACUGCGGUGCUUGAGGACUGGAGAGGAGACUGGAAUUCAUGGUGUAGCAAUGAAAUGCGUAGAGAUCAUGAGGAAGACCAGUGGCGAAGGCGGGUCUCUGGGCAUUACCUGACGCUGAGGAGCGAAAGUGUGGGGAGCGAACAGG